GUGUCAGCCGCCGCGGUAAGACGGAGGGUGCAAGCGUUGUUCGGAUUGACUGGGCGUAAAGGGCGUGUAGGCGGUUCGUCAAGUCGGGUGUGAAAGCCUGGGGCUCAGCCUCAGAAGUGCAUCCGAAACUAGCGAGCUAGAGCGCGAUAGAGGAGGGUGGAAUUCCUGGUGUAGCGGUGAAAUGCGUAGAUAUCAGGAGGAACACCGGCGGCGAAGGCGGCCCUCUGGAUCGUUGCUGACGCUGAGACGCGAAAGCGUGGGGAGCAAACAGGAUUAGAUACCCUGGUAGUCCACGCCUUAAACGAUGGGUACUAGGUGUUCGGGGUGUUGACCCCCUGAGUGCCGCAGCUAACGCAUUAAGUACCCCGCCUGGGGACUACGGCCGCAAGGUUAAA
This 395-nucleotide ribosomal RNA is filed under the name uncultured bacterium. Its description in RNAcentral is "bacterial SSU rRNA". It matches the Rfam family "Bacterial small subunit ribosomal RNA", at positions 505 to 898 of the family's 1533-position model. The record is from RNAcentral.